AUCCAGAUGACGAGUCCCAUCUGGGACGAAACACACAUCCUGGAU
This is a non-coding RNA of Schistosoma mattheei, 45 nucleotides long. The record is from Rfam. NCBI's taxonomy places the organism in Eukaryota, Metazoa, Platyhelminthes, Trematoda, Strigeidida, Schistosomatidae.